CCCUAGCCCCGAUAGAAGCGGCAUCCUUUAUAUCGGCCGUUUUCGGCAGGUAUAAAGAUACAGCGGAUAGCGGGAAAUAGC
RNAcentral lists this small RNA (81 nucleotides) under Flavobacterium frigoris. Its description in RNAcentral is "Flavo-1 RNA". It matches the Rfam family "Flavo-1 RNA". Lineage: Bacteria; Pseudomonadati; Bacteroidota; Flavobacteriia; Flavobacteriales; Flavobacteriaceae. The record is from RNAcentral.